GGAUAUUGCACAAUGGGGGAAACCCUGAUGCAGCGACGCCGCGUGGAGGAAGAAGGUUUUCGGAUUGUAAACUCCUGUCGUUAGGGACGAUAAUGACGGUACCUAACAAGAAAGCACCGGCUAACUACGUGCCAGCAGCCGCGGUAAAACGUAGGGUGCAAGCGUUGUCCGGAAUUACUGGGUGUAAAGGGAGCGCAGGCGGACCGGCAAAGUUGAAGGUGAAACCAUGGGCUCAACCCCUAAAUUGCCUUCAAAAAUUCUUGGCUUGGAUAGUGCAGAGGGAGGUGGAAUUCCCGGUGUAACCGUGGAAUGCGUAGAUAUCCGGAGGAACACCAGUGGCGAAAGCGACCUACUGGGCACCCACUGACGCUGAGGCUCGGAAGCAUGGGUAGCAAACA
RNAcentral lists this ribosomal RNA (398 nucleotides) under uncultured bacterium. RNAcentral describes it as "partial 16S ribosomal RNA". It matches the Rfam family "Bacterial small subunit ribosomal RNA", at positions 359 to 774 of the family's 1533-position model. The record is from RNAcentral.